CUUUGGGGUGUGACUGCGUACCUUUUGUAUAAUGGGUCAGCGACUUAUAUUCUGUAGCAAGGUUAACCGAAUAGGGGAGCCGGAGGGAAACCGAGUCUUAACCGGGCGUUAAGUUGCAGGGUAUAGACCCGAAACCCGGUGAUCUAGCCAUGGGCAGGUUGAAGGUUGGGUAACACUAACUGGAGGACCGAACCGACUAAUGUUGAAAAAUUAGCGGAUGACCUGUGGCUGGGGGUGAAAGGCCAAUCAAACCGGGAGAUAGCUGGUUCUCCCCGAAAGCUAUUUAGGUAGCGCCUCGUGAAUUCAUCUCCGGGGGUAGAGCACUGUUUCGGCUAGGGGGCCAUCCCGGCUUACCAACCCGAUGCAAACUGCGAAUACCGGAGAAUGUUAUCACGGGAGACACACGGCGGGUGCUAACGUCCGUCGUGAAGAGGGAAACAACCCAGACCGCCAGCUAAGGUCCCAAAGUCAUGGUUAAGUGGGAAACGAUGUGGGAAGGCCCAGACAGCCAGGAUGUUGGCUUAGAAGCAGCCAUCAUUUAAAGAAAGCGUAAUAGCUCACUGGUCGAGUCGGCCUGCGCGGAAGAUGUAACGGGGCUAAACCAU
This 605-nucleotide ribosomal RNA is filed under the name Salmonella enterica subsp. enterica serovar Muenchen. RNAcentral's name for it is "partial 23S ribosomal RNA". It matches the Rfam family "Bacterial large subunit ribosomal RNA", at positions 583 to 1190 of the family's 2925-position model. The record is from RNAcentral. Lineage: Bacteria; Pseudomonadati; Pseudomonadota; Gammaproteobacteria; Enterobacterales; Enterobacteriaceae.